GAGUUUGAUCAUGGCUCAGAUUGAACGCUGGCGGCAUGCCUUACACAUGCAAGUCGAACGGCAGCAUGAUCUAGCUUGCUAGAUUGAUGGCGAGUGGCGAACGGGUGAGUAGUACAUCGGAACGUGCCCUGUAGUGGGGGAUAACUAGUCGAAAGAUUAGCUAAUACCGCAUACGACCUGAGGGUGAAAGUGGGGGACCGCAAGGCCUCAUGCUAUAGGAGCGGCCGAUGUCUGAUUAGCUAGUUGGUGGGGUAAAGGCCCACCAAGGCGACGAUCAGUAGCUGGUCUGAGAGGACGAUCAGCCACACUGGGACUGAGACACGGCCCAGACUCCUACGGGAGGCAGCAGUGGGGAAUUUUGGACAAUGGGCGAAAGCCUGAUCCAGCAAUGCCGCGUGUGUGAAGAAGGCCU
This 412-nucleotide ribosomal RNA is filed under the name uncultured microorganism. RNAcentral describes it as "bacterial SSU rRNA". It matches the Rfam family "Bacterial small subunit ribosomal RNA", at positions 9 to 417 of the family's 1533-position model. The record is from RNAcentral.